GCUCUUCCUUCGCCGCCGCCGCCGACCCAGCAGUUCGACGACCUCGUUUCACCGCCUUCUUCACGACACCCACCGGAAACCACCACCAAUUUGCAAGAAUGAGUGAUAAUCGUAUGUGGAUGUACGCGAGAUACAAUGAUCGUACUGCAUUUGAAACGGGGCUUGAGUUUUUCCUUGAGUGGGCGUUCAAUCAAACGGCGUACACAGAUGGACAAGGUAACAUUAGGUGCCCGUGUAAGAAGUGCAAGAAUCAAGCGUAUUUAGAUGUACCUACGGUCAGAAAACAUGUUAGUAGGCGUGGAUUUGUCCUGAAUUACAAAGUUUGGGUUUGUCACGGGGAAGCACCGCUGUAUAU
This is a long non-coding RNA of Salvia miltiorrhiza (redroot sage), 355 nucleotides long. RefSeq lists it as uncharacterized. The record is from RefSeq and is a predicted model, not a curated record. Lineage: Eukaryota; Viridiplantae; Streptophyta; Magnoliopsida; Lamiales; Lamiaceae. The transcript is spliced from 3 exons.